AAACCAGCACCUCAAGUGGUCAGGAUGAUUAUUGGGCCUAAAGCAUCCGUAGCCUGGUGCAUAAGUUUUCGGUUAAAUCCAUAUGCUCAACAUAUGGGCUGCCGGGAAUACUGUGCACCUAGGGAGUGGGAGAGGUAGACGGUACUCGGUAGGAAGGGGUAAAAUCCUUUGAUCUAUUGAUGACCACCUGUGGCGAAGGCGGUCUACCAGAACACGUUCGACGGUGAGGGAUGAAAGCUGGGGGAGCAAACCGGAUUAGAAACCCGAGUAGUCC
This 274-nucleotide ribosomal RNA is filed under the name uncultured bacterium. Its description in RNAcentral is "partial 16S ribosomal RNA". It matches the Rfam family "Archaeal small subunit ribosomal RNA", at positions 473 to 747 of the family's 1478-position model. The record is from RNAcentral.